GACGAACGCUGGCUGCGUGCCUAAUACAUGCAAGUAGAACGCUGAAGAGAGGAGCUUGCUCUUCUUGGAUGAGUUGCGAACGGGUGAGUAACGCGUAGGUAACCUGCCUUGUAGCGGGGGAUAACUAUUGGAAACGAUAGCUAAUACCGCAUAACAAUGGAUGACACAUGUCAUUUAUUUGAAAGGGGCAAUUGCUCCACUACAAGAUGGACCUGCGUUGUAUUAGCUAGUAGGUGAGGUAACGGCUCACCUAGGCGACGAUACAUAGCCGACCUGAGAGGGUGAUCGGCCACACUGGGACUGAGACACGGCCCAGACUCCUACGGGAGGCAGCAGUAGGGAAUCUUCGGCAAUGGGGGCAACCCUGACCGAGCAACGCCGCGUGAGUGAAGAAGGUUUUCGGAUCGUAAAGCUCUGUUGUAAGUCAAGAACGAGUGUGAGAGUGGAAAGUUCACACUGUGACGGUAGCUUACCAGAAAGGGACGGCUAACUACGUGCCAGCAGCCGCGGUAAUACGUAGGUCCCGAGCGUUGUCCGGAUUUAUUGGGCGUAAAGCGAGCGCAGGCGGUUUGAUAAGUCUGAAGUUAAAGGCUGUGGCUCAACCAUAGUUCGCUUUGGAAACUGUCAAACUUGAGUGCAGAAGGGGAGAGUGGAAUUCCAUGUGUAGCGGUGAAAUGCGUAGAUAUAUGGAGGAACACCGGUGGCGAAAGCGGCUCUCUGGUCUGUAACUGACGCUGAGGCUCGAAAGCGUGGGGAGCGAACAGGAUUAGAUACCCUGGUAGUCCACGCCGUAAACGAUGAGUGCUAGGUGUUGGAUCCUUUCCGGGAUUCAGUGCCGCAGCUAACGCAUUAAGCACUCCGCCUGGGGAGUACGACCGCAAGGUUGAAACUCAAAGGAAUUGACGGGGGCCCGCACAAGCGGUGGAGCAUGUGGUUUAAUUCGAAGCGACGCGAAGAACCUUACCAGGUCUUGACAUCCCGAUGCUAUUUCUAGAGAUAGAAAGUUACUUCGGUACAUCGGUGACAGGUGGUGCAUGGUUGUCGUCAGCUCGUGUCGUGAGAUGUUGGGUUAAGUCCCGCAACGAGCGCAACCCCUAUUGUUAGUUGCCAUCAUUCAGUUGGGCACUCUAGCGAGACUGCCGGUAAUAAACCGGAGGAAGGUGGGGAUGACGUCAAAUCAUCAUGCCCCUUAUGACCUGGGCUACACACGUGCUACAAUGGUUGGUACAACGAGUUGCGAGUCGGUGACGGCAAGCUAAUCUCUUAAAGCCAAUCUCAGUUCGGAUUGUAGGCUGCAACUCGCCUACAUGAAGCUGGAAUCGCUAGUAAUCGUAGAUCAGCAUGCUACGGUGAAUACGUUCCCGGGUCU
This 1369-nucleotide ribosomal RNA is filed under the name uncultured bacterium. RNAcentral's name for it is "bacterial SSU rRNA". It matches the Rfam family "Bacterial small subunit ribosomal RNA", at positions 28 to 1381 of the family's 1533-position model. The record is from RNAcentral.